UACGUAGGGCGCAAGCGUUGUCCGGAAUUACUGGGCGUAAAGCGUGCGCAGGCGGUUUUGUAAGCCAGAUGUGAAAGCCCCGGGCUCAACCUGGGAACUGCAUUUGGGACUGCAAGGCUGGAGUACGGCAGAGGGAGGUGGAAUUCCACGUGUAGCAGUGAAAUGCGUAGAGAUGUGGAGGAACACCGAUGGCGAAGGCAGCCUCCUGGGCUAGUACUGACGCUCAUGCACGAAAGCGUGGGGAGCAAACAGGA
This 254-nucleotide ribosomal RNA is filed under the name uncultured bacterium. RNAcentral describes it as "partial 16S ribosomal RNA". It matches the Rfam family "Bacterial small subunit ribosomal RNA", at positions 524 to 777 of the family's 1533-position model. The record is from RNAcentral.